Molecule: ribosomal RNA, 497 nt
Filed under: uncultured bacterium
Lineage: Bacteria
Description: partial 16S ribosomal RNA
Rfam family: Bacterial small subunit ribosomal RNA
Source: RNAcentral
GAUGAACGCUGGCGGCGUGCCUAAUACAUGCAAGUCGAGCGAACAGACGAGGAGCUUGCUCCUCUGACGUUAGCGGCGGACGGGUGAGUAACACGUGGAUAACCUACCUAUAAGACUGGGAUAACUUCGGGAAACCGGAGCUAAUACCGGAUAAUAUAUUGAACCGCAUGGUUCAAUAGUGAAAGACGGUUUUGCUGUCACUUAUAGAUGGAUCCGCGCCGCAUUAGCUAGUUGGUAAGGUAACGGCUUACCAAGGCAACGAUGCGUAGCCGACCUGAGAGGGUGAUCGGCCACACUAGAACUGAGACGCGGUCCAGACGCCUACGGGAGGCAGCAGUAGGGAAUCUUCCGCAAUGGGCGAAAGCCUGACGGAGCAACGCGGCGUGAGUGAUGAAGGUCUUCGGAUCGUAAAACUCUGUUAUUAGGGGGGAACAAAUGUGUAAGUAGCUAUGCACGUCUUGACGGUACCUAAUCAGAAAGCCACGGCUAACUACGUG